UACUAGGGGCCUUGAAAGAUUUGUAUAACUGUGCUUGAACUUGAAUGGCCUUAAACCUGUUUCAGCUUUAACAAUAGAAUUUUAUUUGGGCAAUAUUUGCCCAUUCUGGUGUAACUUACGUGACUUCAGUGCUUAACAGCUGCCAUUGAAGCUAGUAUUCUUAUUUAUUUUUGUAGUGUUAAAUACCUUUCAUUGUUGAGGAUGUGAAUGCAUGUGCAUCGACUGUUGAAUUCACUUUUGUGCCAUUUUUGUAAAUACAGUACUUUUGCACAACCUUUCAUAAAUGUCUGUAUUAAUUUCACAUAUUAGAAAGUAGAUAAUGUGCCAUCGAGAAGCACAAGAGUUCCUCCUACACACAAAAAAACUAUAUAUCCUUACAGCUUUUAUAUAAUAAGAGUAGAGUAGUUUACAAUCUUGGGCUUAUAGAAUACCAAACUGAAGUCUUCAUCUUCACUCAGUCUGCCGUAGAAUUAAGCUUUUACAAUUGUUACUAAUAUUCAUGACGUUCAGUGGCCUUGUGCAAAUAUGAUAUGUUGCUUAGGCAUAUCUUUUGUCCUAUGCAGAUCUUAUUUUGACUUUUAUGAAAACUGCAGUUCAUAUAAUUUAUACACACUUUUUUUAAGUAUACAGACUUUUUAGUUCCACGCUUAACUUUGGGUACACUAGAGUAAAAGGCUCUCCAUACUCUGCCUUCUGUUUUCUUCUCCUCCCUGCC
This 715-nucleotide long non-coding RNA is filed under the name Marmota monax (woodchuck). The record is from RNAcentral. Lineage: Eukaryota; Metazoa; Chordata; Mammalia; Rodentia; Sciuridae.